GAGUUUGAUCUUGGCUCAGAUUGAACGCUGGCGGCAUGCCUUACACAUGCAAGUCGAACGGCAGCAUGAUCUAGCUUGCUAGAUUGAUGGCGAGUGGCGAACGGGUGAGUAAUACAUCGGAACGUGCCCUGCAGUGGGGGAUAACUAGUCGAAAGAUUAGCUAAUACCGCAUACGACCUGAGGGUGAAAGUGGGGGACCGCAAGGCCUCAUGCUAUAGGAGCGGCCGAUGUCUGAUUAGCUAGUUGGUGGGGUAAAGGCCCACCAAGGCGACGAUCAGUAGCUGGUCUGAGAGGACGAUCAGCCACACUGGGACUGAGACACGGCCCAGACUCCUACGGGAGGCAGCAGUGAGGAAUUUGGACAAUGGGCGAAAGCCUGAUCCAGCAAUGCCGCGUGUGUGAAGAAGGCCUCGGUU
RNAcentral lists this ribosomal RNA (416 nucleotides) under uncultured microorganism. Its description in RNAcentral is "bacterial SSU rRNA". It matches the Rfam family "Bacterial small subunit ribosomal RNA", at positions 9 to 424 of the family's 1533-position model. The record is from RNAcentral.